RNAcentral lists this ribosomal RNA (468 nucleotides) under uncultured bacterium. RNAcentral's name for it is "partial 16S ribosomal RNA". It matches the Rfam family "Bacterial small subunit ribosomal RNA", at positions 28 to 507 of the family's 1533-position model. The record is from RNAcentral.
GACGAACGCUGGCGGCGUGCUUAACACAUGCAAGUCGAACGGAAAGGCCCUGCUUUUGUGGGGUGCUCGAGUGGCGAACGGGUGAGUAACACGUGAGUAACCUGCCCUUGACUUUGGGAUAACUUCAGGAAACUGGGGCUAAUACCGGAUAGGAGCUCCUGCUGCAUGGGGGGGGUUGGAAAGUGUCGGCGGUUGGGGAUGGACUCGCGGCUUAUCAGCUGGUUGGUGGGGUAGUGGCUUACCAAGGCUUUGACGGGUAGCCGGCCUGGGAGGGUGACCGGCCACAUUGGGACUGCGAUACGGCCCAGACUCCUACGGGCGGCAGCAGUGGGGAAUAUUGCACAAUGGGCGGACGCCUGAUGCAGCAACGCCGCGUGCGGGAUGCCGGCCUUCGGGUUGUAAACCGCUUUCGCCUGUGCCGAAGCGUGCGUGACGGUACUGGGUAAAGAAGCACCGGCUAACUACGUG